Molecule: ribosomal RNA, 933 nt
Filed under: Flavobacterium sp. CB 286465
Lineage: Bacteria; Pseudomonadati; Bacteroidota; Flavobacteriia; Flavobacteriales; Flavobacteriaceae
Description: bacterial SSU rRNA
Rfam family: Bacterial small subunit ribosomal RNA
Source: RNAcentral
GGAUUUAGAGACCGGCGCACGGGUGCGUAACGCGUAUGCAAUCUACCUUUUACAGAGGGAUAGCCCAGAGAAAUUUGGAUUAAUACCUCAUAGUAUUAUGAAAUGGCAUCAUUUUAUAAUUAAAGUCACAACGGUAAAAGAUGAGCAUGCGUCCCAUUAGCUAGUUGGUAAGGUAACGGCUUACCAAGGCUACGAUGGGUAGGGGUCCUGAGAGGGAGAUCCCCCACACUGGUACUGAGACACGGACCAGACUCCUACGGGAGGCAGCAGUGAGGAAUAUUGGACAAUGGGCGCAAGCCUGAUCCAGCCAUGCCGCGUGCAGGAUGACGGUCCUAUGGAUUGUAAACUGCUUUUGUACGAGAAGAAACACUCCUAUGUAUAGGAGCUUGACGGUAUCGUAAGAAUAAGGAUCGGCUAACUCCGUGCCAGCAGCCGCGGUAAUACGGAGGAUCCAAGCGUUAUCCGGAAUCAUUGGGUUUAAAGGGUCCGUAGGCGGUUUAAUAAGUCAGUGGUGAAAGCCCAUCGCUCAACGGUGGAACGGCCAUUGAUACUGUUAAACUUGAAUUAUUAGGAAGUAACUAGAAUAUGUAGUGUAGCGGUGAAAUGCUUAGAGAUUACAUGGAAUACCAAUUGCGAAGGCAGGUUACUACUAAUGGAUUGACGCUGAUGGACGAAAGCGUGGGUAGCGAACAGGAUUAGAUACCCUGGUAGUCCACGCCGUAAACGAUGGAUACUAGCUGUUGGAAGCAAUUUCAGUGGCUAAGCGAAAGUGAUAAGUAUCCCACCUGGGGAGUACGUUCGCAAGAAUGAAACUCAAAGGAAUUGACGGGGGCCCGCACAAGCGGUGGAGCAUGUGGUUUAAUUCGAUGAUACGCGAGGAACCUUACCAAGGCUUAAAUGUAGAUUGACCGAUUUGGAAACAGAUCUUUCGCA